UUUUUUUUUUUUUUUUUUGAGUAGUGAAAUAAAUAUGGGAAAUGGAUUCAUUUGGCUCCUUUCAGUAUGGAUAUGCUAUAUUGAAAUUUUUCUUAUUGCUUCCAACAUUUCUGCAUUUUCUUUUUAAAAGUUGGUAUUACGUGUGGACCUGGAUAAUUGUAUUUGUUUGGAAAAAAAAACAGUACAUAUUAACUAAAGGCUUAGAAAGCUAUACAGUAUAUUAUACCUACUUUUAUAGAAUUCCAAAAACUACUUUUUCACAUAUUUGAGUUGCACUUUCUGAAAGUGAACAGAAAGUAACACAACUAUCUAAAUAGCAAUGAGCUUGAUGUUGAGUUUUAGAAGCUAUAGAGAUGAUUGCAGUUUUAUUUACUUUAUGAAGGACAUAAUUCCCUCAACUAAAUUUUUAAAGAUUGUCCAUAUUAAUAUCGAGUAACUUCCUUGGAUUUGUGGUUUUGCCAUAGCUUUUUAAAAAUGGAGAGUCCUUUGGUUUAGGACUUCCCCCCAGUUUUUUCAGACCAGCAAGCUCCCUUUAAACAGGGAAUGAUGUUUUUUAAACUUUCAGUGGUGUUGUCUCCAUCUACUGGCAAAGAAGAAUAUACACAAGGGUCUGGGAUGAGCUAAGAGAUUUUGGAGAAACCACAUUAUUAGGUAAGAUGUAACUUACAUAUCUAACCACUGUAAUGUAACAUGGCUCACUUAAAGGUAGAAACCCAUAAAAUACUGCAUAUACUCUUAUUUUAAAAUAAUUUGUUGAGGUGAAAUUUACAUAGCACAUUCAUGGUACCUGCCUAUAUGUUCUUAAAUAUAUCUGUUCUAUAGCAUCCCAUUCUUGUGUGUAUCUGUGUGUGCAUGUGUGUGUCUGUAUGAGUCUCUGAUGCAUGUGCGUGUCUAUGUGUGUUUGUUUAAAAAUUAGCUUCUUGUUGUGAAUCAGGCAAGAUAAAUAUCUUUUUUUAGGAUUUACUUUUAGUUUGUGUUCAGCUUGUAAAGGUUCAUCUAUAUCUAAUUUCAGUUCUACCUUUUAUUUUUCUUCCACUUCAAACCAGUUUCAAGUUAUAAAUUAUCUAAAUCAGGAGUUUUAGAUUUUAUGGCUAUUGUUGCAACCACUUUUUCUGCUGUUCCAAACCCGAAAUGAACCAUGCAAGAAAAGGAGAUGAGCAGAAGUGGUGGCCUACACCUGUAAUCCAGUACUGCAAUCCCAGUACAGGGGAGGCUGUGGUAGGAAAAUCAUUGGUUUGAGGCCAGCCUGGGCUAUAUAUAUUACAAGUUCCAGGCCAGAGUGGGCUACAUAGUGAGACCCUGUCUCAAAAAGUAUUCAAAAAUAUGGUUGUGUUCCAAUAAUACUUAAUAUUCUAAAAAGUACGUGGUAGUCUAUAAUUGGCUAACAGGCCCUAAUUUGCUGACCUAUGAUCUAAUAAUUAUGAGAAUAUAUACUGUAAAUUUAUAAAAUUGCAUUCUUAGGGGUAGUAAUCCAAUACUCAUUGGAAUUCUUAUUUUUAUAAUGAAAAUUUGAUAAAGAUCUGAUAAUAGACUUUCUUAAGAUUAAGGGAAUUUUCAGGUAGCUACUAUACUUAUAGAUCACCAUACUUUGUAAUAUGUGCUCUUCUUAUUUUGGUGAAUAGAAAUAAGUUUAGGUAAUACCACCCUUAGAAUUUUCAGACAGAUAAAUUGUUCAAGUCUAAAUUUAGUAUUUACAUGUCCACUUCUUAUGGAGAAAGAAUAAAAGACCCUUCUCAAAGGUGACUAGUUACUCUGAUGCUAGAUGAGAUAGACAGACUUGCUUGUGUAUAUAAGAAAUAUGAAAGAACUGACUUGAAAGUGAGUAUUACACUCACAAAAGGUACAGAUUAUUUGAACUGCUGUACUAUUUAAUAAAUACACACUUUUCCUAAAAAUUGUUUCAUAGUGAUUGAGAAAAGAUUUGUUCAUAAAAUUGUACAGAUGCAUUUUAUUUGGAAAAACAGGUGCAUGAUCACUCCAAUGCACGUUUAAACUUGUAGUUAGUUUAAUAUUGACACAUUGUCAGGAAAUCCAUCUCAUGGUGUUACUCAGUUAAGAGGUCUCCACUGUAUUUAGUUUCUGUUCCUGCAGAUCCACCAAUUCAAGACUCUAGGUCAUCUCACUCCCUCUUCCAUCCAGAAGAUGACUGCUAUCCACAAGCAGAACUGAAUCAAAAGACAUUUUUCACUUAGCUCUUGAGCUGAAACACCUCCUCAAUGACCUUCCUCUGUCUCCAUCAAGAACUGGAGCUCAGUUUUUUGAAGAUGUAAUAGAGCUACUCAGCCCAAAUGUGGCUGAUUGAAGACAAAGAAGAUACCUCAUAUGUCUCACCACAGUGCAUCAAACGCAACUGUGUUGUCCAUCUCCUCAUUCUGUACAGUAAGGCAGGGGCAUCUGAUUUUUUGACCGUAUUCACCAUUAAGACUUUAGCCAGUGAGUGGCUUUCUGAGGAUCAGUAAAAUCAACAAACUUUGGGUCAGCUGUCCAGAAAUCAGACUAUGGUAAGCACUCAAGGAGCUAGGAUGCUGUAGGGAGCUUGUAAAGGAUGCUUUCUUUUAUUGGUAGAGGUUGCUUUUAUGGGGAAAGCUGGGGGGAAGAGGCCAGUGGAGAGCCCAAUGAUUAGCAAAGUUUAGCUUCUUCUUUGUUUUCUUGGAAAUCAUAUAGCUCAGGAUAUUUUUCACACCACAAAAAGAGAAUUAGAAGUAUUAUGGCUUCUAACUCUUCCUAGAAAAACCAGCUUUACUUUUGCUACAUGAAGAGAAAAAUAUAUAUAAGUGAAAAAUUCUUUUGUAAAUACCAGACUACAUUUUCUCUUUUAUAAAUUCUGACUUUAUAAUUAUUUUGUUGCUGAGUUUUAUAAACUUAAUUUUAUUGUCUAUAUAUAUGUUUGUACAUAAUUAUGCCUUGUAUAUAGUAUUUGGGAUUAUAACUUUAAUACUGAUGUCACUUUUAAUUAGAGAACAGUAUUUGAAUAGUAACUUACUGUACAAAGUAUUAAAAACAAUACCUCAGGGGGUUGGGGAUUUAGCUCAGUGGUAAAGUGCUUGCCUAGCAAGCCCAAGGCCCUGGGUUCGGUCCUCAGCUCCGGAAAAAAG
Molecule: long non-coding RNA, 3095 nt
Filed under: Mus musculus (house mouse)
Lineage: Eukaryota; Metazoa; Chordata; Mammalia; Rodentia; Muridae
Description: long non-coding RNA chr2:121995355-121998450
Source: RNAcentral